RNAcentral lists this ribosomal RNA (253 nucleotides) under uncultured bacterium. RNAcentral describes it as "partial 16S ribosomal RNA". It matches the Rfam family "Bacterial small subunit ribosomal RNA", at positions 524 to 776 of the family's 1533-position model. The record is from RNAcentral.
UACGUAGGGGGCAAGCGUUGUCCGGAUUUACUGGGCGUAAAGAGCGCGUAGGCGGAGAUCUAAGCGUGGCCUGAAAGCCCCCGGCUCAACCGGGGAGUGCGGCUGCGAACUGGGUUUCUUGAGGACGAUAGAGGAGAGUGGAAUUCCUGGUGUAGCGGUGAAAUGCGUAGAUAUCAGGAGGAACACCCGAGGCGAAGGCGGCUCUCUGGGUCGUACCUGACGCUGAUGCGCGAAAGCGUGGGGAGCAAACAGG